Non-coding RNA from Pelobates cultripes (western spadefoot toad), 310 nucleotides. Lineage: Eukaryota; Metazoa; Chordata; Amphibia; Anura; Pelobatidae. The record is from the annotation of a GenBank genome assembly.
CAGAACAUUCCACUCCCAGCAUGCAAGAAGCUUUCUCCAGGGCUCACUAUACUACUCACUAUAAUAUCACUCUGUAACGCUGACCAAACUCUAAUAACGACCGACCAUAUACUAACUGCUGUCUGACCAAACUCUAAUAACGACCGACCAUAUACGAACUGCUGUCUGACCAAACUCUAAUAACGACCGACCAUAUACGAACUGCUGUCUGACCAAACUCUAAUAACGACCGACCAUAUACUAACUGCUGUCUGACCAAACUCUAAUAACGACCGACCAUAUACGAACUGCUGUCUGACCAAACUCUAAU